UACAUAGGGGGCAAGCGUUGUCCGGAAUCAUUGGGCGUAAAGCGCGUGUAGGCGGUUCGGUAAGUCUGCUGUGAAAGUCCAGGGCUCAACCCUGGGAUGCCGGUGGAUACUGUCGGGCUAGAGUACGGAAGAGGCGAGUGGAAUUCCCGGUGUAGCGGUGAAAUGCGCAGAUAUCGGGAGGAACACCAAUUGCGAAGGCAGCUCGCUGGGACGUCACUGACGCUGAGGCGCGAAAGCUAGGGGAGCAAACAGG
Molecule: ribosomal RNA, 253 nt
Filed under: uncultured bacterium
Lineage: Bacteria
Description: partial 16S ribosomal RNA
Rfam family: Bacterial small subunit ribosomal RNA
Source: RNAcentral